Molecule: ribosomal RNA, 482 nt
Filed under: uncultured bacterium
Lineage: Bacteria
Description: partial 16S ribosomal RNA
Rfam family: Bacterial small subunit ribosomal RNA
Source: RNAcentral
AUUGAACGCUGGCGGCAUGCCUUACACAUGCAAGUCGAACGGUAACGGGCCUUCGGGUGCCGACGAGUGGCGAACGGGUGAGUAAUACAUCGGAACGUACCCGAUCGUGGGGGAUAACGAGGCGAAAGCUUUGCUAAUACCGCAUACGAUCUACGGAUGAAAGCAGGGGACCGCAAGGCCUUGCGCGGACGGAGCGGCCGAUGGCAGAUUAGGUAGUUGGUGGGAUAAAAGCUUACCAAGCCGACGAUCUGUAGCUGGUCUGAGAGGAUGAUCAGCCACACUGGGACUGAGACACGGCCCAGACUCCUACGGGAGGCAGCAGUGGGGAAUUUUGGGCAAUGGGCGCAAGCCUGAUCCAGCCAUGCCGCGUGCAGGAUGAAGGCCUUCGGGUUGUAAACUGCUUUUGUACGGAACGAAAAGCCUUCUUUUAAUACAGGAGGGUCAUGACGGUACCGUAAGAAUAAGCACCGGCUAACUACGUG